GGUAGUCUCGCACAGAUGCAUAUCAAUAAGCGGAGGAAAAGAAACUAACAAGGAUUCCCCUAGUAACGGCGAGUGAAGCGGGAAGAGCUCAAAUUUGAAAUCUUAAAGGGUUUCCCUUUACGAAUUGUAGUUUAAAGAAGUGUUUUCUGUUGAGGUUUUGGUAAAAGUUCUUUGGAAUAGGACAUCAUAGAGGGUGAGAAUCCCGUAUUUGACCUUUACUUUCAACUUUGUGAUACACUUUCAAAGAGUCGGAUUGUUUGGGAAUGCAGUCCAAAAUGGGUGGUAAAUUUCAUCUAAAGCUAAAUAUUGGCGAGAGACCGAUAGCGAACAAGUACCGUGAGGGAAAGAUGAAAAGAACUUUGAAAAGAGAGUUAAACAGUACGUGAAAUUGUCAAAAGGGAAGCGUUUGACACCAGUGUUGUUUUUCUGAAAAUCAAUUAAAGAACUGUUUAUGCUAAGCUGUUUAGACUUUAUCAGCUAUCUGUUUAGUUUUGAGCUUUUCUUUAAUGCACUUUUCAGUUAACAAGUCAACAUCAAUUUCUUUUGCUGUAAAAAAGCUUGAGGAAGGUGGCUUGAGAUUCGUCUUAAGUGUUUAUAGCCUCUUGCCUAUGCAGUCGGAGAGAUUGAGGUCUGCAGCGUAGAUCCUUCGGGGCUAAAUGCAUUUGUGCUAAGUUAUAGCAUUUUAUAGACAACUUGUUGACUAUGAUUUGUCUUGUAGCUUACUCGCUUAUGUUAUUUUACCUACGCUUAGGAUGUUGACAGCAGUAUAGACUGU
RNAcentral lists this ribosomal RNA (775 nucleotides) under uncultured Neocallimastigales. RNAcentral's name for it is "partial large subunit ribosomal RNA". It matches the Rfam family "Eukaryotic large subunit ribosomal RNA", at positions 24 to 634 of the family's 3401-position model. Lineage: Eukaryota; Fungi; Neocallimastigomycota; Neocallimastigomycetes; Neocallimastigales. The record is from RNAcentral.